This is a long non-coding RNA of Paramormyrops kingsleyae, 542 nucleotides long. RefSeq lists it as uncharacterized. The record is from RefSeq and is a predicted model, not a curated record. Lineage: Eukaryota; Metazoa; Chordata; Actinopteri; Osteoglossiformes; Mormyridae.
CGGGAAAUGACAGAAAUAAAUGUUCGAAACUCGAGACAUCUAUGGGAUCUUAUUGUUGAAAGAGCUCUAUCAGGAGAGAGAUAUGCCAUGGAGCACUGUGAAGACUGUCAUCUACACGUGAAGAAAAGGUGACAUCACCAAGACUAGGAUCUGAACAUUCUAAGUGAUGUGUUUGUUGCAAAGGACCCCAUACCUUUGCUGAAACGUGGUGAUGGCAGCGUCGUGCUCUGGGGCUGCUGCUCUUCAGCUGGGUAUCUGGCUGGCUGCAGAUAUCAAGAUGUUUUGAGAAAAAAACCCUGUUCCCUGCCCCCCAUCAGAAAGCUGAAGAUAAAGAGGAAUUUCAGUCUAACAUGAUAUUGAAGUCUUUAUGUGACCCAAUCAGACGCCAGGCUUCAAUCCCAUAGAAAACCUGUGGAAUGACUUUAAAAAGGCUGUUCACAGGAGACACCUUGGCAAUUUAAAGCAACCUCCACUUUUUUGCAAAGAAAACUUAUUCGCAACAAUUUCCUGCUGUAAUAAAUGUGAGAUGUUCUAAAUUUUAA